Macrosteles quadrilineatus (aster leafhopper) is the source of this 1212-nucleotide long non-coding RNA. RefSeq lists it as uncharacterized. The record is from RefSeq and is a predicted model, not a curated record. NCBI's taxonomy places the organism in Eukaryota, Metazoa, Arthropoda, Insecta, Hemiptera, Cicadellidae. The transcript is spliced from 2 exons.
UCCAACGUUCCAGUUUUCUCGUCAAUUUCCGGUUUUGUGGGGCCGUUUGGGUUGUCGGCUACAGCCAGUCUUCUUCUUGGGUUACGUCUACUGCUCGACAUCUUUUUCCCCUUUUCUCGUUGGAAGUUGAAUUUAAGUUACCAUGUCGUCUUCGGACACUAUGUUGUCUUCAAGUUCAUCAAAGGGGCGAGCUACAAACAUGUCUUCGUAAAUAUUGAUUAUGUUGGGGCUCCCGGCUAUGACUGACACCAGCCUGAUUUGAGACCUGUGACGAGGCCAUGAAGAGAGGACCGAGGACCACACACACACACACACACAUCCUGCUGACCAUGUAAGAAGCUACUGCUGCCGGAGUUUGGACAGUGCUGCCGGAGUUUGGACAGCGCUGCCGGAGUUUGGACAGCGCUGCCGGAGUUUGGACUCUGCUGCCGGAGUUUGGACUCUGCUGCCGGAGUUUGGGCUGUCUAUCCUAUUGGUGAUCCAUGCUGCGCCACAUCGCAGGUUGUCAUCGGUGGAAGCCUACCUACUGUGACCAUCCUACAGUUAUGCCAGGUGGUGUUGUUCCAUUAUUACUCUGGCCUAUUACAGACUCAGUUACUAGCCAAAUUAACAAAUUUCAACUCCAUUUUGAUACGUUCCGUUCUACUCGUCAAACUGUUAAAUAGUGUGUGGGACAUCCUCGGUCCAGCCUCAAUUGUCACAAAUAUCCAAUGUCUUUUUUUAACACCUUUCAAUUAAUUCUUUAAUGUGUCAGCAGUUCCUUUGUGAUUUAAACUUAGUGUAAUAAUUUUGAUACUCGGCCUAGCCUAGUUAGAAUUUAUUUCAGUUUUCUUGACCGGCCUAGUGGGCACAAUUGGUUAAUCUUUGUCUCUAAAUUUACUUAUUCGGCUUUUCAUUCUAAAUUUGCCCCUAGUGCCUAAGUUAGGUUCUGAUUUAAAUCUUAAACAUUUUAUUUGAAAUCUUGUCGUUUUGACUUUGUAAAUUUUCAUGUCACGACUUACGCUCGAUCGUUAAUCGUUCAACUGUUUAAGGUGAACUUUUCACCUAUUUUGUAGGCCUAACCUUUUAAUAUCAUUCUGUAAUCUUUAUGUAGGUAAUUGAAUUUAUUAAUUUUUUACCAACAAAUAUUGAGUAGGCUAGUUGUAACUUGUAAUGAUUUGUAAUUGUACUUGUAUAUAUAUAUUUUGACUGAGAUUAAAUGGUAUUUUGCAA